Molecule: ribosomal RNA, 239 nt
Filed under: uncultured bacterium
Lineage: Bacteria
Description: partial 16S ribosomal RNA
Rfam family: Bacterial small subunit ribosomal RNA
Source: RNAcentral
GAUCCUGGCUCAGGAUGAACGCUGGCGGCGUGCUUAACACAUGCAAGUCGAACGAAGCACUUUAAUUGAUUUCUUCGGAAUGAAGUUUUUGUGACUGAGUGGCGGACGGGUGAGUAACGCGUGGGUAACCUGCCUCAUACAGGGGGAUAACAGUUGGAAACGACUGCUAAUACCGCAUAAGCGCACGGGAUUGCAUGAUCCAGUGUGAAAAACUCCGGUGGUAUGAGAUGGACCCGCGU